UACGAAGGGGGCUAGCGUUGCUCGGAAUCACUGGGCGUAAAGCGCACGUAGGCGGAUUGCUAAGUCAGGGGUGAAAUCCUGGAGCUCAACUCCAGAACUGCCUUUGAUACUGGCGAUCUGGAGUAUGGAAGAGGUGAGUGGAAUUCCGAGUGUAGAGGUGAAAUUCGUAGAUAUUCGGAGGAACACCAGUGGCGAAGGCGGCUCACUGGUCCAUUACUGACGCUGAGGCGCGAAGGCGUGGGGAGCGAACGGG
Molecule: ribosomal RNA, 253 nt
Filed under: uncultured bacterium
Lineage: Bacteria
Description: partial 16S ribosomal RNA
Rfam family: Bacterial small subunit ribosomal RNA
Source: RNAcentral